UGUAUCUGAAGCCUGACGAGGAUGAGAACCUCCGGGGGCAAGAGGUUCGACCCGAGCGAAGCGAGAAAACGUUGCGUCAGCAACGGCCCGCAGGGCGAGCCACG
Molecule: small RNA, 104 nt
Filed under: Salmonella enterica
Lineage: Bacteria; Pseudomonadati; Pseudomonadota; Gammaproteobacteria; Enterobacterales; Enterobacteriaceae
Also listed under: 1 other name
Description: partial RtT sRNA
Rfam family: RtT RNA
About the family: This family represents a bacterial cis-regulatory element known as RtT RNA. The exact function of RtT is unknown although it is thought that it may be involved in changing the cellular response in relation to amino acid starvation.
Source: RNAcentral